Molecule: ribosomal RNA, 433 nt
Filed under: uncultured bacterium
Lineage: Bacteria
Description: partial 16S ribosomal RNA
Rfam family: Bacterial small subunit ribosomal RNA
Source: RNAcentral
AACGAACGCUGGCAGCAUGCCUAACACAUGCAAGUCGAACGAGACCUUCGGGUCUAGUGGCGCACGGGUGCGUAACGCGUGGGAACCUGCCCUUAGGUUCGGAAUAACUCCCCGAAAGGGGUGCUAAUACCGGAUAAUGUCUUCGGACCAAAGAUUUAUCGCCUUUGGAUGGGCCCGCGUUGGAUUAGCUAGUUGGUAGGGUAAAAGCCUACCAAGGCGACGAUCCAUAGCUGGUCUGAGAGGAUGAUCAGCCACACUGGGACUGAGACACGGCCCAGACUCCUACGGGAGGCAGCAGUGGGGAAUAUUGGACAAUGGGCGAAAGCCUGAUCCAGCAAUGCCGCGUGAGUGAUGAAGGCCUUAGGGUUGUAAAGCUCUUUUACCCGGGAUGAUAAUGACAGUACCGGGAGAAUAAGCUCCGACUAACUCCGUG